GGGGAAUAUUGCGCAAUGGGCGAAAGCCUGACGCAGCGACGCCGCGUGAGGGAUGAAGGUUUUCGGAUCGUAAACCUCUGUCAGAAGGGAAGAAACCGCACCGUGCUAAUCAGCGGUGCCUUGACGGUACCUUCAAAGGAAGCACCGGCUAACUCCGUGCCAGCAGCCGCGGUAAUACGUAGGGUGCGAGCGUUGUCCGGAAUUACUGGGCGUAAAGAGCUCGUAGGUGGUUUGUCGCGUCGUUUGUGUAAGCCCGCAGCUUAACUGCGGGACUGCAGGCGAUACGGGCAUAACUUGAGUGCUGUAGGGGAGACUGGAAUUCCUGGUGUAGCGGUGGAAUGCGCAGAUAUCAGGAGGAACACCGAUGGCGAAGGCAGGUCUCUGGGCAGUAACUGACGCUGAGGAGCGAAAGCAUGGGUAGCGAACA
RNAcentral lists this ribosomal RNA (427 nucleotides) under uncultured Actinomycetales bacterium. RNAcentral describes it as "bacterial SSU rRNA". It matches the Rfam family "Bacterial small subunit ribosomal RNA", at positions 356 to 774 of the family's 1533-position model. The record is from RNAcentral. Lineage: Bacteria; Bacillati; Actinomycetota; Actinomycetes; Actinomycetales.